RNAcentral lists this ribosomal RNA (843 nucleotides) under Triticum aestivum (bread wheat). RNAcentral's name for it is "partial small subunit ribosomal RNA". Lineage: Eukaryota; Viridiplantae; Streptophyta; Magnoliopsida; Poales; Poaceae. The record is from RNAcentral.
AUGCGUCCACCUCAACGGCUGCUACAUGGACGAGUUCCCUGCCCUGCUCACGGGCUGGCUCCAGAUCCUCGCCGACAAGGGUAUCCAGGAACUCGUCCUCGUCAACCGCCGAGGUGGCCGCUCGACGUCACUCUCCCCGACACUUUCUUAGGCAUGGCCACCCUCACCCGCCUCUACCUCGGCCCCUGGAAGUUCCCCGACACGGCCGGCCUCCCGAGCGCCACCUGUUUCCGCAACCUCUGUGAGCUCGGGCUCUGCAAUGUCAUCAUGGAGAGCAGGGACUUGGACUUCGUCCUCGACAGGAGCCCCGUGCUGGAGACGCUCUGUCUCGAAGGGAAUCUCUUCAGGCUUUGCCUCCGCCUUGUCAGCCAAAGCCUCCGGUGCGUGCAGAUCAUCGUGUGCUUCCUUGAAGAAAUCUUCGUGGUGAAUGCCCCACGCCUUGAGCGGCUCAUCCAGUCCGAAGGUUGUACCCCUAAUGGCACCUGCAACAAGGUGAAGAUUGGCCAUGCCCCCAAGCUGCACUUGUUGGGAUACUUGGAGCUGGACCAAAGGCACAUCCUAGAGGUCGGCAACACCAUCAUCAAGGCUGGGACAGGGGUGAGUCCGAGCACCAUGGUGCCAAGUGUGGGAAUCCUGGCUUUGGAGGUGCGUUUCGAAGUCCGCAAUGAUUCCAAGAUGGUUCCCGAUGUCCUCAGAUGCUUUCCGAAUGUUGAGACGCUCCACAUCAAGUCUGGAAAAACCGACCAAUCCACUGGCAAGCUGAACCUGAAGUCAUGGCACGAGUCUGGCACCAUAGAAUGCAUCCGGUCGCGCAUCAAGCUGCUGGUUUUCCAUGAUUUCUGA